AUCAGACUCCAAGGAGAGGCCAACAGAUGAGGGAGCCAUUUUUCUGCAAUGGAAUUAAAUGGCCAAGUGGGUUUUUCCUUUGUUGCAAAUGGGGAAUGCUUUUCCUUUGACUCCACCAUCCAGUUCAGGACGCCUGAAUGUGUUUAACAUUUGCCAAAGGACUCACACUUGGAAGAAUGAAGACCUUUUAAAAAGAUCUGGAUUUUUCCUUAUGACUUGGAAUCCAUCUUUGUCUUGUAUAACUAGGUCAUAGCACACUAUUAAUGUCAGCAGUUAACAGUUUUGAAUUCAAAAAAACCUAAAGCACUAAACAGCCCUCAGCGAAGCCGCCUUUUUGCCAGCCCAACCCUGGAAAGUUUGCAGUCGUGGAAGGAGCAGAAAUACCACGAGUGUAACUUACAAAGAAGGUCUUGGCCGGAGACCGGAGCCAUGUCUGUGUUAUCCCCACUGUAGACAAUCCUUGCUUCCUCUGGACAUCUGGAGCAGGCCCAAUUUGACUGAGAGCCUUCCCCCACUAAGAAGUGAAUUCUCCCCUUGGCAAACUGCAGCCAGCCAGCCUCCUGGGUCGAGAGCCAAGCCAAAAGAUGUCUGAGAGAAGAAACCUGGGGUCCUGCAAAGGUAAGUGGGUCCCAGCCCACUCUCAAUCCCCCUCUCUCUGUGUGAUUGCUAUUCCACACUGGAGUCACCUGCUCUGUGCUUCUGAGGAACCUCACCUCUGGCACAUCAAUGGAAAUUGUCCUUCCCUUUUUAUUUAUUUUUAUUUAUUUUUUAUUUUUUGCCACCCUCACUGGCCACUAAGAGAUAGCCCUAGCUCCUCCUCUCCUGCCUGGUUUUGACAGGACUCACUCCAUUGAGUCCUGUCUCGUCUCUUUGCAGCCCUCCUCCUCCCCCCCCCCCCCCUUCAGCCAGCACUUAGGCCCUCCCUGAUUUAGCCCGUUACCUUGACAACCACUUGGGCCUGUCUCCCUCAUCACCACUGAAAACCUGAAGGUGGUUUUCCAGCUGCGGUACAUUUGCCCAAGUUGGGCACCCCUCCAGCUUCUAUUGGCUCGCCCUCUAUACAGCUGUACCCAAUAUAACAAACACAACCUUCCUGGCCCCUCAGCUGUAGUCUCGAAAUUGAUCUCACUGGUCCCGGGAACUCCGUCAAUACUGCCUCCUCUAGACUGAGCUCCUCACAGGCAGGAACAUGGUUGUUUCUCAAUAAACAAGUUGCAAAAAAAGGAA
This 1227-nucleotide long non-coding RNA is filed under the name Mus musculus (house mouse). RNAcentral describes it as "expressed sequence AI480526". Lineage: Eukaryota; Metazoa; Chordata; Mammalia; Rodentia; Muridae. The record is from RNAcentral.